RNAcentral lists this ribosomal RNA (484 nucleotides) under uncultured bacterium. RNAcentral describes it as "partial 16S ribosomal RNA". It matches the Rfam family "Bacterial small subunit ribosomal RNA", at positions 30 to 507 of the family's 1533-position model. The record is from RNAcentral.
AUUGAACGCUGGCGGCAUGCUUUACACAUGCAAGUCGAACGGCAGCACGGGCUUCGGCCUGGUGGCGAGUGGCGAACGGGUGAGUAAUAUAUCGGAACGUACCCAGAAGUGGGGGAUAACGUAGCGAAAGUUACGCUAAUACCGCAUACGAUCUAUGGAUGAAAGCAGGGGACCGCAAGGCCUUGUGCUCCUGGAGCGGUCGAUAUCUGAUUAGCUAGUUGGUGAGGUAAAGGCUCACCAAGGCGACGAUCAGUAGCUGGUCUGAGAGGACGACCAGCCACACUGGAACUGAGACACGGUCCAGACUCCUACGGGAGGCAGCAGUGGGGAAUUUUGGACAAUGGGCGCAAGCCUGAUCCAGCAAUGCCGCGUGAGUGAAGAAGGCCUUCGGGUUGUAAAGCUCUUUUGUCAGGGAAGAAACGGUAGAGGCUAAUAUCCUUUGCUAAUGACGGUACCUGAAGAAUAAGCACCGGCUAACUACGUG